UACGGGAGGCAGCAGUGAGGGAUAUUGCACAAUGGAGGAAACUCUGAUGCAGCGAUGCCGCGUGGAGGAAGAAGGUUUUCGGAUUGUAAACUCCUGUUUCGAGGGACGAUAAUGACGGUACCUCGGGAGGAAGCUCCGGCUAACUACGUGCCAGCAGCCGCGGUAAU
Molecule: ribosomal RNA, 167 nt
Filed under: uncultured rumen bacterium
Lineage: Bacteria
Description: partial 16S ribosomal RNA
Rfam family: Bacterial small subunit ribosomal RNA
Source: RNAcentral